GAUCAUGGCUCAGGAUGAACGCUGGCGGCGUGCCUAACACAUGCAAGUCGAACGAUUAAACCGCCUUCGGGCGGAUAUAAAGUGGCGAACGGGUGAGUAACACGUGACCAACCUACCCCGCACAUCGGGACAGCCCUCCGAAAGGGGGAUUAAUACCGAAUACUCCGUAUUUUUUCGCAUGAUUAAUACGGGAAAGCUUUUGCGGUGCGGGAUGGGGUCGCGGCCCAUCAGGUAGUAGGCGGGGCAGCGGCCCGCCUAGCCAACGACGGGUAGCCGGGUUGAGAGACCGACCGGCCACAUUGGGACUGAGAUACGGCCCAGACUCCUACGGGAGGCAGCAGUGGGGAAUAUUGCGCAAUGGGGGCAACCCUGACACAGCAAACCGCCGCGUGCGGGAUGAAGGCAUUCGUGUCGUAAACCGCUUUCAGCAGGGAAGACAUCGACGGUACCUGCAGAAGAAGCCCCGGCUAACUACGUGCCAGCAGCUGC
Molecule: ribosomal RNA, 489 nt
Filed under: uncultured bacterium
Lineage: Bacteria
Description: bacterial SSU rRNA
Rfam family: Bacterial small subunit ribosomal RNA
Source: RNAcentral